GAUUAACGCUAGCGGCAGGCAUAAUACAUGCAAGUUGAACGGCAGCACAGGUAGCAAUACUGGGUGGCGAGUGGCGCACGGGUGUGUAACACGUAUGCAACCUACCCUAUACAGGCGAAUAACCUUUAGAAAUGAGGGCUAAUACGCCGUAGUAUUACAGAUGGGCAUCUAUUUGUAAUUAAAGAUUUAUCGGUAUAGGAUGGGCAUGCGUCCCAUUAGUUAGUUGGUAAGGUAACGGCUUACCAAGACGAUGAUGGGUAGGGGAUCUGAGAGGACUUACCCCCACACUGGUACUGAGACACGGACCAGACUCCUACGGGAGGCAGCAGUAAGGAAUAUUGGGCAAUGGCCGCGAGGCUGACCCAGCCAUGCCGCGUGCAGGAAGACGGCCUUAUGGGUUGUAAACUGCUUUUAUACGGGAAUAAUAGAGUGUACGCGUACAUUUAUGCAAGUAUCGUAUGAAUAAGCAUCGGCUAACUCCGUG
RNAcentral lists this ribosomal RNA (484 nucleotides) under uncultured bacterium. RNAcentral describes it as "partial 16S ribosomal RNA". It matches the Rfam family "Bacterial small subunit ribosomal RNA", at positions 28 to 507 of the family's 1533-position model. The record is from RNAcentral.